RNAcentral lists this ribosomal RNA (497 nucleotides) under uncultured bacterium. Its description in RNAcentral is "partial 16S ribosomal RNA". It matches the Rfam family "Bacterial small subunit ribosomal RNA", at positions 28 to 507 of the family's 1533-position model. The record is from RNAcentral.
GAUGAACGCUGGCGGCGUGCCUAAUACAUGCAAGUCGAGCGAACGGACGAGAAGCUUGCUUCUCUGAUGUUAGCGGCGGACGGGUGAGUAACACGUGGAUAACCUACCUAUAAGACUGGGAUAACUUCGGGAAACCGGAGCUAAUACCGGAUAAUAUUUUGAACCGCAUGGUUCAAAAGUGAAAGACGGUCUUGCUGUCACUUAUAGAUGGAUCCGCGCUGCAUUAGCUAGUUGGUAAGGUAACGGCUUACCAAGGCAACGAUGCAUAGCCGACCUGAGAGGGUGAUAGGCCACACUGGAACUGAGACACGGUCCAGACUCCUGCGGGAGGCAGCAGUAGGGAAUCGUCCGCAAUGGGCGAAAGCCUGACGGAGCAACGCCGCGUGAGUGAUGAAGGUCUUCGGAUCGUAAAACUCUGUUAUUAGGGAAGAACAUAUGUGUAAGUAACUGUGCACAUCUUGACGGUACCUAAUCAGAAAGCCACGGCUAACUACGUG